This 1734-nucleotide ribosomal RNA is filed under the name Triticum aestivum (bread wheat). RNAcentral's name for it is "partial small subunit ribosomal RNA". The record is from RNAcentral. Lineage: Eukaryota; Viridiplantae; Streptophyta; Magnoliopsida; Poales; Poaceae.
AUGUUACUUCUUCAAAGAGAAAAAACUAGUGGUAAGGGAACUAAUGCAUUUACUGAUGGUGGUUGGAGUAAUUGGAAUAGAGAGGAGGCUCUUCUUAAGCAUGUUGGUUGCGUAUCAAGUGUGCAUAAUGCAGCUCAAGAGAGAUAUAACUUAUUUGUGAAUCCUCGUGCAGCAAUUAAUGAUCUUUUUGUGAAGGUGAACAGUGAGGAUUUACGUCUUUACAAGAUGAGGUUGAAGUAUUCACUUAGAUGCUUGCAAUUUCUUCAUCAUCAAGGAUUGGCAUUUCAUGGGCAUGAUGAAAGUGAACAGUCUAGCAAUAGAGGAAACUUCCUUGAGAUACUGAAGUGGCUUGCGGCAAAUAGUGAGUAGGUGAAUAAGUAUGUUUUGAAGAAUGCACCAGGUAACUACCAAUUGACAUCUCAUCAAAUACAACAGCAGAUUAUUCAAUGUUGUGCACAACUUACUAGAAAGCAAAUUAUUGAUGAACUUGGUGAUGAGUACUAUGCUAUUCUAGCUGAUGAGUCUAGUGAUGUAUCACAUAAAGAACAACUAGCUUUAUGCUUGCGUUUUGUUGAUAAAGUAGGGAGGCCGUGUGAGCACUUUCUUGGAGUUGUUCAUGUAAGUGACACUACUUCAUUGUCACUUAAGGAAGCAAUUGAAACUUUACUUAUUGACCAUGGUUUGACUAUAACACAAAUUCGUGGGCAAGGAUAUGAUGGGGCUAGUAAUAUGAGAGGAGAAAUUAAAGGAUAGAAAACAUUGAUCAUGAAAGAGUCACCUUCUGCAUAUUAUAUUCAUCGUUUUGCACAUCAACUCCAGCUAGUUCUUGUUGAUGUUGUCAAGGGAAAUGAUGAUUGUGUGUGGUUUUUUGACCGAGUGUCUUUAUUACUGAAUGUUAUUGGAGUCUCUUGUAAGCGUCAUGACAUGCUUCAAGAUGCUAGACUUCAUAAUAUCAUGAAACUACUUGAAUGUGGUGAGUUACAAACUGGGAGUGGUUUGAAUCAAGAGAUGUGGUUACCUAGGCCUGGUGAUACUCGGUGGGGCUCUCAUUACAAAAUUGUUCUUAACAUUAUUGCUAUGUAUCCCACAAUCCGUGAUGUGCUCAUAACUCUUGGACAAGAUGCUUCACAAAGAAGUGAUUGACCCAAAAUUCAUACUAUUUUUGGAGUGUUCGAGCCAUUUGACUUUAUUUUCAAUGCACACUUGAUGCUUGUCAUUCUUGGAUACACAAGUGAUUUGUCUGAUUGUUUGCAAAGAAGAGACCAAGAUAUUCUUACUGCAAUGGCACUUGUUAGAACUGCAAAAAGUAGAAUACAAGAGCUUAGGGCUAAUGGGUGGGAUGCAUUUAUGCAAAAGGUCACACUAUUUUGUAACAAGCAUGGCAUUAAAGUUCCUAUAAUGGAAGAUAAUUAUGUGCCUUAUGGAAGAUCAACACGGUUUGCUCGACCCCAAACAAAUGAUGAUCACUUUCGAAGAGAAGUUUUUCUUGGAGUCAUUGAUCAAAUUAGUCAAGAGCUUGAAAAUCGGUUUGAUGAGAUCAAUAUGGAGCUGCUAUCUUGUAUGUCUGAUUUGAAUCCCGCCAACUCAUUUGCUGCUUUUGAUGCACAAAAGGUACGAAGACUUGCUGAGUUUUAUCCCAAAGACUUUUCAAGUGCCGACUUGAUACACCUUGAAUUACAACUUGAUAACUAUAUUGAUGACAUGAGAAAUGAUGAGAACUUUCAAGGCCUUUGA